AUCGUAAGAGAACCUCAGCAUUGUG
This 25-nucleotide non-coding RNA is filed under the name Callithrix jacchus (white-tufted-ear marmoset). The record is from RNAcentral. RNAcentral also lists the same sequence under 1 other name. Lineage: Eukaryota; Metazoa; Chordata; Mammalia; Primates; Cebidae.